CCUACGGGAGGCAGCAGUGAGGAAUAUUGGACAAUGGGCGCAAGCCUGAUCCAGCCAUGCCGCGUGCAGGAUGACGGUCCUAUGGAUUGUAAACUGCUUUUAUACGAGAAGAAACACUCCGACGUGUCGGAGCUUGACGGUAUCGUAAGAAUAAGGAUCGGCUAACUCCGUGCCAGCAGCCGCGGUAAUACGGAGGAUCCAAGCGUUAUCCGGAAUCAUUGGGUUUAAAGGGUCCGUAGGCGGUUUAAUAAGUCAGUGGUGAAAGCCCAUCGCUCAACGGUGGAACGGCCAUUGAUACUGUUAAACUUGAAUUAUUAGGAAGUAACUAGAAUAUGUAGUGUAGCGGUGAAAUGCUUAGAGAUUACAUGGAAUACCAAUUGCGAAGGCAGGUUACUACUAAUUGAUUGACGCUGAUGGACGAAAGCGUGGGUAGCGAACAGGAUUAGAUACCCUGGUAGUCCACGCCGUAAACGAUGGAUACUAGCUGUUGGGAGCAAUCUCAGUGGCUAAGCGAAAGUGAUAAGUAUCCCACCUGGGGAGUACGUUCGCAAGAAUGAAACUUAAAUGAAUUGACGG
This 576-nucleotide ribosomal RNA is filed under the name uncultured bacterium. RNAcentral's name for it is "bacterial SSU rRNA". It matches the Rfam family "Bacterial small subunit ribosomal RNA", at positions 338 to 916 of the family's 1533-position model. The record is from RNAcentral.